Zea mays is the source of this 3569-nucleotide long non-coding RNA. RefSeq lists it as uncharacterized. The record is from RefSeq and is a predicted model, not a curated record. NCBI's taxonomy places the organism in Eukaryota, Viridiplantae, Streptophyta, Magnoliopsida, Poales, Poaceae. The transcript is spliced from 2 exons.
CACUUCGAGGGCUCUAAUGAUUCCGUUUUUGGCGAUUCAUGCCAAAGGGGGAGAAAGUAAGAGCCCAAAGCAAAAGGACCGCAUCACCACCAAUUUCAAAAACUUAAGUGUUGAAUAUUUUCAAAUUGGUAUCCUAUUGUGUUCAAAAGGGGGAGAAAGUAGUAUUUCAAAAUGAUAUAUCUAAACCCUCUUGAACACUAAGAGGAGAAUCUCUUUUAGGGGGAGUUUUUGUUUAGUCAAAGGAAAAGCAUUUGAAACAGGGGGAGAAAAUUUCAAAUCUUGAAAAUGCUUCUCAAAAUCUUAUUCAUUUGCCUUUGACUAUUUGCAAAAGAACUUUGAAAUGGAUUUACAAAAGAUUUUGCAAAAACAAAACAUGUGGUGCAAACGUGGUCCAAAAUGUUAUAUAAGAAAGAAACAAUCCAUGCAUAUCUUGUAAGUAUUUAUAUUGGCUCAAAUUCUAAGCAACCUUUACACUUACAUUAUGCAAACUAGUUCAAUUAUGCACUUCUAUAUUUGCUUUGGUUUGUGUUGGCAUCAAUCACCAAAAAGGGGGAGAUUGAAAGGGAAUUAGGCUUACACCUAGUCCCUAAUUAAUUUUGGUGGUUGAAUUGCCCAACACAAGCAAUUGGACUAACUAGUUUGCCCAAGUGUAUAGAUUAUACAGGUGCAAAAGGUUCACACUCAGCCAAUAAAAAGACCAAGUUUUGGAUUCAACAAAGGAGCAAAGUGGGAACCGAAGGCCCUCUGGUCUGGGUGCACCGGACUGUCCGGUGUACACCGGACAGUGUCCGCUGCACCACCGGACAGUGUCCGGUGCACCAGAGGACUUCCACUCGAACUCGCCAGCUUCGGGAAUCGCCAACGGCUAGUCCGCUAAAAUUCACCGGACAUGUCCGGUGUGCACCGGACUGUCCGGUGCAACUCCGGUGCAACGGCUACCUCCGCGCCAACGGUUACCUGCAGCGCAUUAAUUGCGCGCGCAGCGCGCGCAGAAGUCAGGCGCGCCCAUACUGGCACACCGGACAUCAAACAGUACCUGUCCGGUGUGCACCGGACACCCAGGCGGGCCCACAAGACAGAAGCUCCAACGGUCAGAAUCCAACGGCAGUGAUGACGUGGCAGGGGCACCGGACAUGUCCGGUGUGCACCGGACUGUCCGGUGCGCCAUCGAGCAGACAGGCUCCCAACGGCCACUUUUGGUGGUUGGGGCUAUAAAUACCCCAACCACCCCACCAUUCAUUGCAUCCAAGUUUUCCACUUCCCAACUACUACAAGAGCUCUAGCAUUCAAUUCUAGACACACCAAAGAGAUCAAAUCCUCUCCAAAUUCCACACAACGCCAUAGUGACUAGAGAGAGUGAUUUGCUUGUGUUCUUUCGAGCUCUUGCGCUUGGAUUGCUUUCUUCUUUCUUGAUUCUUUCAUUGCGAUCAAACUCACUUGUAAAUUGAGGCAAGAGACACCAAACUUGUGGUGGUCCUUGUGGGAACUUUGUGUUCCAAGUGAUUGAGAAGAGAAAGCUCACUCGAUCCGAGGGAUCGUUUGAGAGAGGGAAGGGUUGAAAGAGACCCGGCCUUUGUGGCCUCCUCAACGGGGAGUAGGUUUGCGAGAACCGAACCUCGGUAAAACAAAUCCGCGUGUCUCUCUUACUUAUUCGCUUGCGAUUUGUUUUGCGCCCUCUCUCGCGGACUCGAUUUUAUUUCUAACGCUAACCCGGCUUGUAGUUGUGUUUAUAUUUGUAAAUUUCAGUUUCGCCCUAUUCACCCCCCCUCUAGGCAACUUUCAGUUAUCAAGAAGAUUGGGUCCCGAGAUCUUAUUCAAGAAGCUCUUGCGUACAACAUAUAUCCAACUCGAACAAGGUGGAAGUUGCUGAAGGAAGUGAAGUGCAAUGAACAUAUAAAACUCCUUCGGCUGGAUGGUUGAAAUUUGUUGAAGAGAAAUGCAAUGAGAUGUCUGGUAACUAUCUUGCUAGGGAGCACGAAGACAUGUGAUCUGCUUUCUGUGGCUAAGGGAAACUUUGACUCAAUAGGGUUAUGGAUGCCUUAGGGUUUGAAUACCUAGACUAUGAAGAUCCUUCGACCAAUAUUGGGGCUAGGAAAAAGGAGGGCUACGAAGAAAGAGGCCGAAGAGUCAUCUUCGGGCCAGGUAAAAAAGAAGGCCAAGAUUGUUCAAAAGGAUGUAGCCACGGUAAAAGCUUUGGCUCCAAUAAUAACUGCAGUCGCUCAAGAACCGAGGAAGGGAAGCACAACCACAACUUCAUCGCUGAACUACACCCGUAUUCUUGAGUUAAUGACUCGACCACUACCGUUUUCCCCUUAAUUCCCUUAGGACCCUCAUUGACUCGAUUUAUGCCAACUUUGAAGGACUGAUUGAAGAGGAAGUUUUGAAACUGGGGGAGAAAGGCGAAGCUCUAGGGUACGUCCCUGGUGUUUUACUAUUUGGUGGGGAAGACCGGAUGCUGAUGUGCAUACCAGAUCCCAAUGAAUUGAAGAUUGUUAGGAAUAUAACCUGAAGCAUCAGCUUUCCGGACAUCAAAGAGAAAUUGUGCCAAGUAAAGAAGAAGAAACUCUCCCACAGCCUGGCCUAUACUAGUAUCAAGGGACUAAUGCUAAGAAAAGCCUUGAGAAUGCAGUAAGAAAAAGAAGAAAAAGAAUUCUCCGCUCUUCAAGCUGAAGCUGCCAAACUUCGCAAGAGUUUGGGGAAAAACAUGCAAAAAUGGCGCUCUUGAUGGAGAAGGUAGAAAAAGUCGAAAAGGAAAAUGAUGAAGCAAGGAGGAUACACGAUGCUGAUGUUUCAAAGUUAAAGAAAUAAGAUGAGUUUAUAAAAGAGCUUCAGGCCAACCUCGAUGCUGAGAAAAGGGUAAUGUUGAUAAGUAUAUGGAAAACCAAAAGUUGUUAGGAAGUUUAAAUCAGCUUUGAGAGAACUUUUUUGUUGCUUCGCGCUGCCGCGAUACUCUUAGGAAGAUUUUUUCCUCAACCAGUGCCAUCUCAAGAGCAACCACAUACACCAGUGGGGACACCGACGGAGCGCUCAACUAGAUGGAGAAAGAACUGGGAGAAGUAGAUUCGAUAAUUACCGCUCGCAGUGACUAUUGCACAAUGAUUGGGUCCCAGGGGAUGGCUUCAGUAUUUGAAAAGGCUAGUUGCGAUCACACCAAAGUUGUUGGAGAAGCUGGCUUUGAUAUGAAUGUUGAUGAUAUAAAGUGUCCUCCGAAGAAUGUGGCGAAGGCCGUACAAAGAUUCUUCUUUGAGUUGUGGAACAAGGGAGGACGAGAGCUAGUUGCUUCGGAGGCCGAAGAAUAUACUAGGAAUGUUCAUCUUUUAAACAUGUACUUCUGAAGUUUUGUUAAUGGGUUUUUUCUAAUUAAUCACCAUGUCUCCUUUUGCUUCUUUUCCUGCAGAGCAAGAAGCUGAAGAAAACGAAGUAAAGCAAGGAGGUCGAAGCCUAGUUAGGUUGUUAGUGUAGAUAGAUUCUGAUUGUAAAAACAAACUCUGUGUGCAGUUGAAAUGCUACUCUUUUGUAAUUUAAUGUCUGACUCUUCAUCAUUUAUCCUACUUACAUUUGUAUGCUUU